GAUUCCCCUAGUAACUGCGAGUGAAGCGGGACAAGCUCAAAUUUAAAAUCUGGCGCGCUUCUGGCCGUCCGAGUUGUAAUCUGGAGAAGUGUUUUCCGUGUUGGACCGUAUACAAGUCUCUUGGAACAGAGCGUCAUAGAGGGUGAGAAUCCCGUCUUUGAUACGGACUGCCAAUGCUUUGUGAUACGCUCUCAAAGAGUCGAGUUGUUUGGGAAUGCAGCUCAAAAUGGGUGGUAAAUUCCAUCUAAAGCUAAAUACAGGCGAGAGACCGAUAGCGAACAAGUACCGUGAGGGAAAGAUGAAAAGCACUUUGGAAAGAGAGUUAAACAGUACGUGAAAUUGUUGAAAGGGAAACACUUGAAGUCAGACGCGUUGAUUAGGACUCAACCUUGCCUCGUUGCUUGGUGUACUUCCUGGUUGACGGGCCAACAUCAAUUUUGGUCGGUGGAUAAAGGUGAGGGGAAUGUGGCACCUCCGGGUGUGUUAUAGCCCCUYGUCAUAUACACYGGCUGGGAUUGAGGAUCGCAGCAUGCCUUUAUGGCCGGGGACUUGUCCCACGUAACAUGCUUAGGAUGUUGGCAUAAUGGCUUUAAAUGACCCGUCUUGAAACACGGACCAAGGAGUCUAACAUGCACGCAAGUGUUAGGGUGGAAAACCCUUUCGCGAAAUGAAAGUGAAAGUUGGGACCUCUGUCGUGGAGGGCACCGACGCCCGGCCUUGAUCUUCUGUGACGGCGCCGCGGUAGAGCGUGUAUGUUGGGACCCGAAAGAUGGUGAACUAUGCCUGAAUAGGGCGAAGCCAGAGGAAACUCUGGUGGAGGCUCGUAGCGAUUCUGACGUGCAAAUCGAUCGUCAAAUUUGGGUAUAGGGGCGAAA
Molecule: ribosomal RNA, 875 nt
Filed under: Hyphoderma sibiricum
Lineage: Eukaryota; Fungi; Basidiomycota; Agaricomycetes; Polyporales; Hyphodermataceae
Description: LSU rRNA
Rfam family: Eukaryotic large subunit ribosomal RNA
Source: RNAcentral